AGUGAACGCUGGCGGUAGGCCUAACACAUGCAAGUCGAACGGCAGCACAGUAAGAGCUUGCUCUUACGGGUGGCGAGUGGCGGACGGGUGAGGAAUACAUCGGAAUCUACUUUUUCGUGGGGGAUAACGUAGGGAAACUUACGCUAAUACCGCAUACGACCUACGGGUGAAAGCAGGGGAUCUUCGGACCUUGCGCGAUUGAAUGAGCCGAUGUCGGAUUAGCUAGUUGGCGGGGUAAAGGCCCACCAAGGCGACGAUCCGUAGCUGGUCUGAGAGGAUGAUCAGCCACACUGGAACUGAGACACGGUCCAGACUCCUACGGGAGGAAGCAGUGGGGAAUAUUGGACAAUGGGCGAAAGCCUGAUCCAGCCAUACCGCGUGGGUGCAGAAGGCCUUCGGGUUGUAAAGCCCUUUUGUUGGGAAAGAAAAGCAGCAGGUUAAUACCCCGCUGUUCUGACGGUACCCAAAGAAUAAGCACCGGCUAACUUCGUG
This 492-nucleotide ribosomal RNA is filed under the name uncultured bacterium. RNAcentral's name for it is "partial 16S ribosomal RNA". It matches the Rfam family "Bacterial small subunit ribosomal RNA", at positions 29 to 507 of the family's 1533-position model. The record is from RNAcentral.